UUCAAUUCAGAACUGCAGAUAGUACGGUUUCCACAGGAGCGGGGAUGCCUGAGUACAAGUGGCUGAGUUCCGAGGGACUUUAGGAAAUGCUUCUCCGGCUUCCUGGGCAAGCAAACAGGACUCUGCACCUGCACCCCAGCCUGGGGAGAAGCCCCUGUUCUGCCUGCAGGCGUGAGGAACUACAGCCAGAAGCAGCAUUUAGAAAUUGCUCUGGACACAAGAACCAAGAAAUCCAUGAAGGAGACUGAAGCCAGCUCCAUCUACAUGUUCAAUGGCAACCCAGUAAGAGCCACAGCAAUGUGCCUAUCUCUGAGGAACACAAAGAGGUUGGUUCUCUGUACCCUAAAAUUAGGAUUGAUUAAGGUACGUCAUUUCUUUGAGUUCACUGGAAACACUUUGUUCUGUUCCUGUUAGAGUUUCUCCUCUUGUUUUCUCUCUCUCUCUCUCUCUCUCUCUCUCUCUCUCUCUCUCUCUCUCUCUCUCUCUCUCUCCCCAUCCCUCCCAUUUCUUCUCCCUUUUAUUGCUCUCAUUGGCAGAUGUCUUUUAUAAUUUAUGUUGUUUACUGUCCUUUCAUUAAAUGUAGGCUGCAUAACUUAGACAAGGCAGCAGCCAGAGCAUCUAAGUCCACAGGGGAGGAGAGCGCAUGCAGGAGCCGCUCACACUGUCUCAUCGGGCAGUUCUAAUAAGCAUCUUGGUGCCACUGAAUGCAAAGCUGCCCUCAAAUGAGAGCUUUCAUCUUCAUGCUUUUUUAAAUAUAAAAGUAACCCUUGAAGCCCUUUGAAGGACCCCACGCAGCAACAUACACAAGGAAAUAGAUCAGCAAGGCUUUGAAAAACAUCCUUGUACAAAACUCUGUAAAGCAUCUCACCAUCUUCAUCAAGAGAGACAUCUAGGUAAAUAAUGGCUUUUAAUAAGACACAUGACCGUCUCAAUUAUGGGGUCAUUAUUGUGUGUUCCCUGUGCUGUUUUAUGUUCCCAGCAGGGUGUGUUUCUUUUCUUCUCCCCCUCACAUCUAAAUUUUCAGAACUGUCUACAGUUCUCUGUGUAUAAAAUGUAUCCACAAAGCUACAGUAGUUUGUGUUUUCUUUGUUUUUAAUAAAACUACCCCCACCUGCACACACACACACACACACACACACACACACACACACACAAACUUUGUUAAGUGGGCAGACAGACUGUAACUAGACGGUUAUACAUAAGGGGUAUAAAAUGAAGGGUAAAAGGCUAUAAUUUCUUUUCUGUGGUGGCAACCAAAAUCAGCUCCUGGAGUCAGGUGACUUAAAAACAUAGCUACUGGAGCCUGAAGCCUGGAAGAGCAGACUGCCCAGUCUGUGGUAAAUGGGACCCCACUUCUGAGGAUGUGCUAUGUGGCAUGAUGGGAAGUCCUCACUGAGUGCUUUUCCCAGUUAGUGCCCAGGUCCCCAUACCUGUGACCCACUUCCCAGUCAAUUGUAUCCCAGUCUUCCACAGCUCCAUGUUUGAUUUCCCUUCCCCCUAUUUCAUUAAUUUAAAGCAAAAUAAAACAAAAACAACAGCCACCAAGCCCCUGACUUCUGUCCCAGGCUGAGAGCUCCUAGAGAGGAAACAAAACAAAACAAAACAAAACCUCAAAAGAACAUGUUUUCAAAAGAGACACUGCUGUCUAAAAGCAUCCUCAGUGGACCAGAGGUCCACGCAGUGACUGUGCUGGGGCUGUAGAUUGUCGGUCCCAGCCCCUUCUCAGCAACACACAGGUUUUAAAGUGAUAAAACUCCAGAGGUGUGUCUAGCUUGCGUAUUCACCGGGCACUUGAGAUUUUUCAGUUCAUAAUUUAGCUAACUCCCAUUUUCAUCGGAUUUAACAGAAUUAUAAAAAUGAUAGGAAGCAUAGGCAUUGUACAACAUGUGGCUCAUGUCAGGUGAGAAUUGGGGGGUACUGAAGGUAGACCCCUAAGCCAUAGAACUAGCUGGAAGUGUCAUUGGUUUAAUUACAGGUUUGCAUAUGUGUACACUAAGAAACACACCCUCAGAGUGGAUGUUGCAGAAAUGUGUAAGGAGAAAUAUAGUUAUCCAAAUACACACGUUCAGCAAACGGGGAUUACCAUUCAACAUAGACAAGAGUGUGUUUUAAAACUGCCUGAAGAUGUUCUUCACACAGCAAACUGACUUCAGUCAUGUAUCUUCUGACAACUGUAUAAUCUGCUCGUAAUCAAAUAUUUUCCUUUGGACACAUGUGCAGCACCCAUUUGACCUUUCUGUAUUCUAAUGUGUUUUGCUCACAUUCCUGUAGUUUUGACUGCUCAGGAGGAGGCCUAGAAGAAAAGAAGGUAAGUUAGUGCAUAAGCUGUGUUAGGUCUUCGGUAAUUCGUCCCUUGUUUUCAGUAUCCUGUUUAAAAAAAAAAAA
Molecule: long non-coding RNA, 2385 nt
Organism: Peromyscus leucopus (white-footed mouse)
Lineage: Eukaryota; Metazoa; Chordata; Mammalia; Rodentia; Cricetidae
Exons: 2
Source: RefSeq, a predicted model, not a curated record